UAAACAUGUCUUACUGCCGUUUGCCGUCAGGGAUUACGAUUUUUUGAAAUUUUUGCUGGAAAAGGAAAGGUAAAUCGCAAAAUUUUUAGAUACAUUAACCAGGAAAAGAUCCUAUCUAAGGAAUUUCUUGUUUUGAUCUGGAUAUUCUCACACCUUUUUUACGUAGUAGACAUUAAUAAUAGCAUAUGAGCAUACAUUCUUCAUGCAUUCUUUCACAGAAGAGGAGGUAGGAGUGAUCUCAGAGAAGGUAGCUAAUCUUUGACCAAAGGUUAAGUCCGAUGCAGGAAGAUAAAAAGCAUCGGGAGACAAAGAUUUAUGGCAAAUUGAGGGCUUAUCUAACACAGUUCAGCCAUAUCUACAACUACGACUUUGAAACUAAACAAAUAGGCUUUAUCUUCGUGGCAGUUGAUGGUUAUGUCCUUCUUCAUCUGCAACAGUUUGAAGAAGAUGCCCAUUACAUUGAAUAAAUUCAACAUUCGACAGUGGAAUCACGAAAUUCAACAUUGAAGAGAACCUAAAUCAUUUUAGAUUUUGUACAACAAAUCGAUGGUUGUAUACAGUUCCAGGGCAGUACAUUUAUCUUUUUCAUGAAUAUUACCAACAAUGCAUAAGGACUUACAAGUAUAUCUAAUUUUUUUGGCCUUUGGCCACUUCAUUUUCUUAUUGGUAAAAUCUAAUUAGAAUUUUACAUCCUGUUGUUUUUGGUUAACUUUCAAUUUUCUAUAAUAUCCUGAGUCCCAUAUUUUCUCCAUUGUGGUAAUAAUAACAUCAUUCAUUAAUUCUUUAAAGUAUUUUAUUGCCUGUAUUUCAAUAAGUCUCUUUUAUUUGCAUUAUUUUUCUUAUGGUGUUAUUUUUCUAAUGCUUUUUUGCUUGUGUAAUUCCUUGUACAGAAUUUUAGUUUUGAUGGAUACAUUUUUAUGUCAUUUUUUUCAGAUUGUAUCCCAUGAAUUGCUAUAAUUUUACAGAUCUUGUUGGUUCCUUUUGCCUGUGUUUAAACACACAAAAUACACUUAAAACUCCCACAAUAAGAACUAUUCCCAAUCAAUUCCUGGCGCAUUCGCCAUUUAUUCAAAAAACCUGACUCGUCCUCAGACGAUGUCUCUUCUGUUUUUCCUAGCCUUUUUUCCAAUGAAUUUUUCUGAAUAAUAUCGACUCCAGAGCAUCACAGCUAGCCUCCCCGCAAAAGAGGAGACCCGGGUCGCUCCCUAACCCUGAUGUUCGGGCAUCGAUGACCUAUGUAGCAUGCAUAGGUACCCAAGGGAGUCACCACCCUCUGGUUUACGAGCUAGGUGUUCUAACGCUAGAGGCUUCGGCCGGAUACGACCUGGCACCCAAGCUCCGAGACUUCUUCGUGCACGUAUUCCGUGACCCUCGAAGAGGCAGGGGGCGGGAUAUCGGACACAUUGAAGAUGAUGAGGGGGGUCCGCCUGUAGGGGGUCCCGGUGGAUGUCCGCUCGAUGGGUGACGAGGGCGACCCGAGACGAGGCUGUUUAGCUGGGAUGGGAACUGACUGGUGAGGCUUAAUCGUCGGACAAGGGUUAAAUCGGAUGAGGGAUGGCGAACUUGAUGCUCUGGAGGAUUUUUCUUCGUGCACUUCAGUCAUAUUUUGACGAGAUAUUCGUAGAGGAGGCUAAGCAUAGUCUUUGGUCAAUUUUCCAGUUCUUAUUGACCGCAUACUCCUUUUUUUCUUGCUUUUGGCCUAUUUCUAUUUAACUUUUUUGGUCUGUCAUAUUUUCUUUUUUUGGAAUUUCCUUAUUCGUAUAGAAUUAUUUUAUCUUUUUUAUCAAUUUUCAUUCUAUUUUUUCUCAAAUUAUCCCUCAUUUUCGUGGCUUUAUAUUUAUCCCUAUUAUUUGUUUUAUUAUUUUUCACUCAUAUUUUCAUUUCAUAUUCACUCUUCUCUUUGUUUGCCUUAUUCAUUAAUGUCAUCCUUCUAAGCCAUAAUAUUUCAACAUUUCUAUUUCCUGUAUUAUGUGUGUAUCAUGUAUUCCUUGUGGGAAUGGCAUCAUUCAGCAAUUCUAUAAACUCUUCCAUUCAAUUAUUGUCUUCUUAUAUGUAUGUAAUUUUAUAUUUUUUGUGUCACUUUUCUGGGACUUCUAAAUUCAUUAUACAUAUUUAUGCAAUUUUUUUUCUCAGCUCUAGAUACCAACUCUAUUUCGUUAUUUCUAUCUCAUUUUAUUUAUCUACAUGCUGUGAAAUCUUCUAAUUUUUUCUCUCAUUCUUUUAAAAUUGAGUUCUUUUAUGGAGUACUGCUUUGGAACAAGAAUGUUUUGGGAAAGCUGCAUUUCCACUGAAGAUUCCCUUUUGAAGAUGACAUUAGAUUGGUUAAAUUCAACAUUCAUCAGCCGAUUGAGAAUAUAUUUCAUCAUUGAAGUUGAAGCUAAGUCAUUUUAGAACCAAGACUUUCCUGAAGGGUACCGAGAAGAUUUAUUUACGUCCACAUAGACAUCAGCAUGUUCAUCAACACCUUGGAUUUUAAUGUUGUUUUUAUGUUACUCUUGUUAAUAAAAUAUAA
RNAcentral lists this long non-coding RNA (2512 nucleotides) under Sitophilus oryzae (rice weevil). RNAcentral describes it as "uncharacterized LOC115884925, transcript variant X3". Lineage: Eukaryota; Metazoa; Arthropoda; Insecta; Coleoptera; Curculionidae. The record is from RNAcentral.